UCUGAGGCACGAAAGCGUGGGGAUCAAACAGGAUUAGAUACCCUGGUAGUCCACGCCCUAAACUAUGGAUACUCGACAUACGCGAUACACUGUGUGUGUCUGAGCGAAAGCAUUAAGUAUCCCACCUGGGAAGUACGACCGCAAGGUUGAAACUCAAAGGAAUUGGCGGGGGUCCGCACAAGCGGUGGAGCAUGCGGUUUAAUUCGAUGAUACGCGAGGAACCUUACCUGGGCUAGAAUGCUAUCUGACCGUGGGUGAAAGCUCAUUUUGUCGCAGGACACAGAUAGUAAGGUGCUGCAUGGCUGUCGUCAGCUCGUGCCGUGAGGUGUUGGGUUAAGUCCCGCAACGAGCGCAACCCCCAUCACUAGUUGCCAUCAGGUAACGCUGGGAACUCUAGUGAAACUGCCGUCGUAAGACGCGAGGAAGGAGGGGAUGAUGUCAAGUCAUCAUGGCCUUUAUGCCCAGGGCUACGCACGUGCUACAAUGGGGCGUACAAAGGGCUGCCACUUAGCGAUAAGGAGCCAACCCCAAAAU
RNAcentral lists this ribosomal RNA (534 nucleotides) under uncultured bacterium. RNAcentral describes it as "bacterial SSU rRNA". It matches the Rfam family "Bacterial small subunit ribosomal RNA", at positions 745 to 1280 of the family's 1533-position model. The record is from RNAcentral.